ACCAGGUGUGGUGGAGCACGCCUGUAAUCCCAGCAGCUCAGAUGGGAGGCUGAGGCAGGAGGAUCACAAGUUCAAGGCCAGCCUCAGCAACUCAGCAAGACCCUGUCUCAA
Molecule: small RNA, 111 nt
Filed under: Marmota monax (woodchuck)
Lineage: Eukaryota; Metazoa; Chordata; Mammalia; Rodentia; Sciuridae
Source: RNAcentral